Chinchilla lanigera (long-tailed chinchilla) is the source of this 6515-nucleotide RNA transcript. RefSeq lists it as uncharacterized. The record is from RefSeq and is a predicted model, not a curated record. Lineage: Eukaryota; Metazoa; Chordata; Mammalia; Rodentia; Chinchillidae. The transcript has 5 exons.
GGACACGAGGCCAGGAGAGCCCAGGGACCCGGCUGCGCGCGCAGGCACCGCCCGGCCUCGCCGCCGCGCGCUUCUCCGGAGCCCCGGGGACCGCGCUCCGCGCGCACCCUCUUCCUGCGAAGGAGUGAACUUGCUGGGAGGCUGGGGCCUCUCGCCGCUCGGUUGUUGCUCCUUUCGCGCUGUUUCUGUUCGGCUUUCGGUGUGAGCAGCUGCCUCGCGUCCUCGGUUCUGGAGCACACAUCUAGAUGUUCUGGGAUCUCUUCUGGAGAAGUUAAAACCCAGACCUGUAACGUUUAUUCCUCGUUUACAGGAAGCGGGGGCGGGAGGGGUGCGUGAGACACCGACCGCGAAAGCGCGCAGCUGCUUGCCUUCUGCCCAAAAGUCGCCCACCAGCCCCUGGCUUCCCCUCCACCGGCCCUUCCCUGGAAACUCCGUCUGGUCGCCAAUAAAGCACGAACCACACCAAGCAAUCAAAAAUCAAUUAUGACUACCAGUGACUUUAUUACUGAUGGUUAGCGGUGAGGCCUCCAAACUGGGCCAAGAUAAUUGAGCUUUUCAAAAAUUUUGCUACCUAAGAUUUUUACUCCUUUCCGCAAAAGGAGAAGCCCAGAGACGUUUUCAGAGUCUGCCAGGAGGGGUCCACGGGUGAAGUGGGAGUUAUUUCUUUCAGUAAAGUUUAUGGCUACUUCUGGUAAAUUAUGGAGCCUUCGUUCCUGACCCCGUCAGGUUGUACAAAAUGUAAUUGAUGGCGGUGUCUGCGGCACUCAGUUUGGAGGUGGAACUGGGACAGGGUGGGGAGGGUUCUUCCUGCAGUUACCCUGGUUGCAGGAAGCUCUGCCGGGCUUAAAGGACACGCUGUGCCUCUGCAGACGUGAGGGCGAUCAGGAGGGCUGGGACCCAAAGGGCCAAGGGAGAGUCAGGAAUUGGCUCCACUUCCUACAUUUUCUCUUUUUCUGCUCAUGGGUUGAGUGGCUUUGGGGUGUCAUGCGCAGACUCACCAAGCGACCUUUUGAAAAAUGAAAAGUUCCUGGGAAUAGUGCGUAGGGUCAGGGGUUACUUCGUGGCUGGUCUGUAGCUGAAGAUGACUGGCCAUUUCUCCUGGCCUGUGUGUGGACAAUCUCCUCACCCAAAGGGGUUCACGCUCCCUCCUGGGGUGGAAGCUCCUGGUGGGCUCCCACGGCGACGGCACAUCUGGCUGCGGUGUCCUUGCCAGGCUGCACGGCGGAGAGACCUGAGCCGCCUGGGAUCAUGCGGUGGAAGUUCAGGCAGUUUCCGGGCACCGCGUCCUCUUGCUGAGACACACAGCAGCCUCCUUCUGGUUUCCACUCUGCCAGAGCUAAUUGCCCUGCAGUGGGGCAUUGCCAAGCAACACUUCGGGGCAGGAAGGGAUCCGCCACAGGGAGGCCUCGGCUCGUGGAUCCAGCCACGACCUUCCCUGCCGACCAAGGGCGAGGCCUUGCGGAGGAGCGCGUGCGGGCCGCUCGAGGCGAGGAAGCCUGGAGCUCCGGCUGGGAUGCGGCGGGGACGUGGGCCUGGGAGCCGAUCACUCGGGCCGAGCUGCAGGAGGCCUCAUGGAGGCCGCUCCCUGCGGUGCGCCGCGCUGUGCCCGAGGUCCCGGUCCCUCCUCCCGUCUGGUGUCCGUGACUCUCGGUCAUUCUCCGCGUGGGACGGUCUCCGGGACAGGCGCGGCGCAGGGUUGCAAGAAGGCAGUUUCCACGCACAGCUGCUCACAGGAGGCAGGCGAGGGGCUCCCGCUCCUCCGCCCUGCCCUGUGUCAUUUGUCUUCGCGGCCUCAGCCUGCACAGGGUCGCUGGAGAAAAUCGUGUACCCCCCGCCAGGAGGGCUCUGUUAUGUAACACAGGGAUUCCUCAGGUUACCUUUUUUGGGUCCAAAUCAGCUAGCCCUGGGGGUUCUAAGGGGUCCUGGAAAGGGAGUGGUGGCUCCAUUCCCUGGGGCUUUCGUGCCCCUCCCGGUAGCUCUAGUCCAAGGCCCAGGAACAAAAGGGAAGGUAACUGAUCUCCCUUUGGGUCUCUCUCGGCCCAGCACUUCCGCCCGCCCUGCAGGCCCUGGCCUGGACACUUCGAGGGAAGUCCGAGGGACUCCGCCCCCAUGUAAACGGCGCUGACCGUCCCAGCGCCUUCUGGCUGAAAAGCAGAAACCCGCUCUGGGUGUGGGCUGCCCGCUGCCCCUGCACUCCCCUUCCCACUGUCCACUCUGCGACACCCCAGGCUAAUCGCUGGACACUCCCUCUCCAGAUGAAAACACUCAGCCUGGGUGUGGAGCUCCGUGGUGAAGGCUUGCGGUGCCCGUAGGAGGACCUGGGUUUGGGCCCAGCACUGCCCACAAGAAUCAUGCAGGACAACUGUUAAAUAGUUCUUGGGAAAGCGAAGGACCUUUCUCUCAGGGUCUAACGUUUUGAAAACCCUGUUUGGCAGAAAUCUCCAGGGCAUACCAAAGAGAAACAACGGCAGAGCACUCUUGAAGUCUGAAAGAUUUCUCCUCUGACAUGUUAGUGAAAAGUCGUUUCUUAAGUGUUAUUUUGUUUGCUGCAGGCUUCAUGGCUUUUCUCCACUAUUGUAUCCCAAAGAUUCUCAAGACCAAGUUACCAAGACAUUUAUUUUCAUCUUGCUGAUUCCUGGGGGAGCCUAUACUUUCUGGUUAGGUCUAGUAAAUUUAUCUUUCCCUCUGCAGGGGAGUUUCCAGCCUUGGAAAGGGAAGUGAAAAGCAGGUUCCAUCCCUGUGUGACCCUCAUCCAGCUCAAACCUUGAGGACUUGUCCAUCCUAGGUAGGAAGGUGGCGGUUUUGACACUUUUUGUUUCAGUGCCAGCACCAGGAGCGCUCUGAAAUGAAGGCCUACCUUCCUUCUUGGAGAAUAGAGCUACUGUGAUUGCCCAGGGAGUCUCCGGCGCGAAACACCUUUUGUCCUUUAAAAAAGAUUAAAAAAUGCUUUUCUCUCCCACCCAGUGUGUGUCCCAUGGUUUUGCAGCAACAGCAAGGAACCUGGAGCAGUGGUAGCUACGCGUGCUGUGCUUUGUCACCAGGUCUGGUACGGGGACUGACGCAGCCCACACAUCACUCAGGUGCAUCCUGGGCGUCUCAUGUUUACUGGACACUCACAGCAUCCCCUGGAGCAGUCACACCCGACCCUGCUUCCUCUGGACAGCUCUUCCCCAGGCAACACCCCUCCGUCAAUCACAGAGAAAGCUAUUUACCCCGGCAAAACUUCCCAAAUGGAGAAAAGACCAGACCCAGGCUCUGCUGGAGAUUGCCUGGCAGCUCUACCUAAGCAGAGCUUCUCCUGGGAGGGGUGUCUGGUGAGUGCUCCAUGACACUGCGAAAAUGACAGCGACUGAGCACAUUCUGCAGAUGCAGUGUGCCUACAUUCUCAGCCAGCUCCCACGACUGAAAUUCUAGUUUUGUUCACAUACACGCACGCACACAGACACACACAAGCACACACACCCCAAUGAGUGUCCCAUCACCAGCAAGCACAUUUCUACUGGGAAACUUUGGUGACUGCAAACAUAACCAGAAAAGUUCUUUUCUGAAGAGUCAAAAAGCAAACAAAAACCUCUCCCUGCAUUUUGGGAUACUUAGAGUGUUGAACACCUCCAGAACCAGAAAUUGGGCAGCCCCCCGCACCAAGAACAGGCCUCCCAACGCUUGGCUAGAACAACAACAAUAGCAGCAGCAGCAGCAGCAGCAGCAGCAGCAGCGAUCUGGCCAGGGAAGAGAGUGAGGGGUCCAGGGGAGGAGUAGGAACCUGGAGGAAAUGGGGUGCUUCAACCUGCGUCUCACAAGGUGUCAGUUGACAAUUAUCAGUAACCCCAACAGACAACUCCAUUAAAAAAAAAAAAAAAGAAAAAGAAAACUUACUACUGCUCUUGAAAGCCGUUAUUUUUUAUAUCGCUUUUAGGACUAAGAUAGAUGAACAAAACAUUGCGUUUCAAGCCAUUUUGAUCUGUAAUUAAAUGGCAGGAUCGGUUUGUAUUCUCCUACGGCUUUUACAGAAGUUGCAGUGAUCCAAAGUCGGGUUGCUGUGUCAGACUGGCAUUUUUAUUAAUGAGAAUACAAAAAGCUUGCAUAUUCUUAGCCCUGCUUGAAUUUAGUUGCUAAGCAACCGGUGUAUGGUAAUUCAUCCGCGAAAUUUAAAUCUUUGAGAAAGGAUCGUGCGUUUUGCUGAAUGGUCGCCACGAGGAAAACAACUUGUGGGACCCACAGCAGCUGCCACGCGGGGCCGCCCAGCCGUGCCGGGCUGAGCAGGGACCAGGCGGCCCAGGGCCACCACCACCGUGCUGGCUGCCGCCCUCCCCGGAGAAGAGCUGGACGCCGGGGGCCUGCCCCUCCUGCUCGCUUCUGGUGACUUCGGACUUCCAUUCAAGGUUUGCACCGCAAACGGGGUCUGCACCUAACCAAGCCCCUGCCCGGGGGCCUCUGGGCCCAGCCUGCGAAUUGACGUGACCCCUCCCCGGGGGCGCACCGCAUUUGCUCGCUAGGGCUGUGCGCGCACGCAUGCACACACACGCAUUGUGCCGCCACAAGAGUGCCUGUUGCCCUCCUCCCAGACCCCUCUGAGGUCACUUCCAGAGCCGACUCCUCCUAGAAGAAGAGGACUCAUCCGAGGCGGCCCGCAGCCCGCCAGAAGGCCAGGCGGCCACCGGGGCCGGCAGUGACAUCAUGUGCGCCUGCUCGGCCGGCUCGCGCCCACGUUUUAGGAUACAGGAACAAACACGGAUGUGAAAUCAAGAAUGAAAGAGAGAGUAAUCUAAUUAAUAGGCCAUGAGCCAGGCUAACAAAAUCAAAGAAUCUGAUUACACCAGGAUCCCUCUUGCUAUCUCCGCUGCUCCCACCCCAGCUCCUCCAGACCCUUGCUAUUUCCUUUCCUAUCCUGGGAAGUUCAGGAGGUAAACGCAGAGCCCUCUGAUUUCCCUAUUGAAAUCAAGACCAAGCCCACCGUGAGGCUCCCCAGGCCAGGAGGUCACGUGGGUGACCUUCAGGCCCAGGGCCCAGCAGAUGACCAAGCCACUGCCAGCAGAGCAGGGAGCCAGGCAGGGACCCGGGUAGGGGACCCCUUCCCCCAGCAACCCCCGGACAGAAACACCUGUGCCGGCUAUCGGUCUCAGGGCUGCCGAGGGGAGGGCUUCUCCUCCCACAGCCAUUUCAAGAGGAUCUUUUAAAUGUGCACCACUCUUCCUUGCCUGGGGUCACCUUGCUUGGGGGUCACCAACCACCCCAAACUCUCCAGCCUCGGUCAACUCUCUCCCCACAGAGAGCUCUGGACCGCGCCAGCUAUUAGGUUUUAUCACCAAAACCGCAUUGCCCUCAUCCGCACAGCCAGCCACACACGUGAAAGAAGAGAAUACUUUAAUUUCUAUCUUUCUGCCUGGAAAAAAGAGAAAGAAAACCGGUCCACCUCCUGAAUAACUAAUUCCAAGUCUGCAACCAGUGCCAAGACUUGUUGCAUCCAUUUUCGAGUUGAUUAAUUACCCUGGAACUUGGGCAAACUAAACUCCAUGUGGAGAGAAUGUUUCUUCCUUCAAUUUAGUUCUGAGAGCUACACGUUAUUGAUGGACCUCACUCUAUUUACAUACAAAUUGGUGCAAGUAUGCCCAUCUCUUCAAAUGCAUUUUAUAUAGAUAUAUAAAAGUGUCAUUUUUGAUUUAGCUUAAAGACGUUGAUCAUUUAUUACAAAAAUAAACGAAUAAAUACAACAAUAUAUUGUUGCUUCCAACAGGAUAAAUACUUUACAAAUAUAUAAUUUAAAAAAACAAAUUUAAUUGUUAAAAUAUUACACUUAUCGAUAAAACUAUCCAUAGUAUAUACUGCAUUGAAUAUUAGAACCAAUUAUUCUCUGAAUGUUGGAAAUCAUUCAUACAAAACAGAUUAUGAGCAGGGUAAUGAACACACAGUGGAUGCUACAUGGAAGAUGCCCCGGGGAAUCUCUGCUAGGAGUGAUGGUGGACAGUUCUGUUUCGGAACAAAGAAGUCCCUGGCUAAGUACUAAAAAAACAAAACAAAACAAAAGAGAGAGCAACCACACCGAAGUGUUUAAAGUACACCUUACAGGACUGAUCGCAGGGACUUGCCAGGGGGCAACAGCUGCAUGAGGAAGGGGACCAAGGCUUGGGCCAGUGACCCAGAGUCACAGGAGACUGUAAACUGUAAAUGGGCCCAGUUUGGGAUUAGCCAGGCCUGGGACAGAACUUGGUCAUUUUCCUUUGGGUUGGAAGGGGAGGGGGAGGGACUGAAAGGGGAGGAAACAAAUGAACACUUUACGAGGCACAAGACACUUGCGCUGCAAAGCAACACAAUGACCAAAUUCAUUAACGAGAUCUGGUGAUAUAUAACAAUAUUUUCAUUAUUUACAUGUGUAACAAUAUACGCCUUAGCACAAAACCUCUCCGUUAUAUCUCCUCUCUUUUGGGUCUCAACCGUGAAAUUUCAUCUUGUAAGUACAUUCAAGGGGUUGAAAAAAUUUUGUAAUAAAGCAUUAGCCCGCUUUAUAAAACGCAAAA